This 616-nucleotide small RNA is filed under the name Pongo abelii (Sumatran orangutan). RNAcentral's name for it is "retained intron". Lineage: Eukaryota; Metazoa; Chordata; Mammalia; Primates; Hominidae. The record is from RNAcentral.
GGAUGUUGCGAUGGCUGAUCGGGGGAGGCCGAGAACCGCAGGGACUGGCCGAGAAAUCUCCUUUACAGACAAUAGGUGAAGAACAAACCCAGAAUCCCUACACUGAACUGCUAGUACUGAAGGCUCAUCAUGAUAUUGUACGAUUUCUGGUACAGUUAGAUGACUACAGAUUUGCAUCUGCUGGUGAUGAUGGAAUUGUAGUUGUGUGGAAUGCCCAGACAGGGGAAAAACUUUUAGAACUGAAUGGACACACUCAAAAGAUAACAGCUAUUAUUACAUUUUCUUCCUUGGGAUCUUGUGAAGAAAAAAAUCAACUCAUCUUGACAGCCUCUGCUGAUAGAACAGUUAUUGUGUGGGAUGGUGAUACUGCCAGACAAGUUCAGAGAAUAUCAUGCUUCCAGUCUACUGUAAAGGUAAAAUCUUAAGUAAAUAUGAGUUUUUAUGGCAAUCUAUUUUUGUCUCAGAAGACAUGGUUUAAAAAGUUAGACAAAAUUACUUUUGUGGGUCUUAUGAAUUAUUUUUUUCCACACACUUGUAGUCAUUUGCUUCGUGUAAGAUCAGAUUUUUGAGAGCACAUGUAUUAAGUGUUAGAAUGUUUCAAUUUGAAAUUAGAGCA